Molecule: long non-coding RNA, 5044 nt
Organism: Passer domesticus (house sparrow)
Lineage: Eukaryota; Metazoa; Chordata; Aves; Passeriformes; Passeridae
Exons: 2
Source: RefSeq, a predicted model, not a curated record
UGACGAUUCCGCAGAAAAUGCAUCCUGCUAGCUCCCUCCUCUGUAGCCAGCCCAGCUCUGCAGAGCUGUGAGUCAUGGCAGGCAGCACGGUUUUUUUCCUGUCAUUACCACAUCAGCUCAGGCUGAUGCACAGGGGAGCUGGUGGGUUGAGUAAAGAGGUGCCAUUUUUACACGGUCGCUCUCCAGACAGGAGCUGGACUUUUCUCACAAUAUUUUUUUACAGCAUCUCAGCAAAUCAAACUCUGAGCACAGAGGGUCAGGAUGUGCUGCAUAUCAAUGAGGGGGAUGUACAGCAGUCACUGCAUUCUCUUAUCUCCUGCUAUCCCCUGUGGAAAGCUGGACCUCAGCACUGACAUGUCUUGCUGAAGAGGUCUCCAGAAAGACACACAAGUCUGCGGGGAGCAGGAGGAGUCCUUGAACUGUCAGCAGAGGAGGCGGGACAGCACAGAGGCACUGGUGGGCAGAAGGUGGAUUUGGAAAGCUGUGCAUGAUCACUGGCCUUUGAUGAGAGCUCAGAGCUCCCAGGGAAGCUGGGAGGAGUAAGUAUCCACCAUCCUCCAGCAGAAAACAGCAUGGUAAAACAGGGAUCCCACCCUGGUCCUACCCAACAGCUGGGGAGUCUUGUUCUGCUGCCCUGACCAUGUGGAUCUCCCUUCUGAGUUAACAAAAUUAAGUUUGUUAUCUAAGUGAUAGCACUAAGCAGCUAAGUGACUCCAGUUUUUGGCUAAGUGAUCUGAUCUCCUCAGUAAGGAAGGGGAUCUCUCCUCAGAGACCAGUUUGUCCCAGCAGAAGAAAUUGGACAGCUCAGUGUCUGGCUGUAAGCAGAGCUCAGACUCCAAGCUGUGAUUCAGGUAAGGAGCUCUGGGGUGUGAGAAACCAGCUGGGAUAACUCAUGGUUUUGUGGAGCAUGGGGCAGUCCCCCUUUGCCCCAUGCCAUGUCUGUCCCUGACCCAGCUGUUUGGCCAUUCUUCACUCAAGAGGGAAGGGGAAAAGAGCAUCUGCUGAGCAAAUCCAGGAUCUUACAGCUUCUCAAAGGGUUUCACCUAUGACAAGUUUCCAUGUCAAGUCUGGUGUGAGUUGAGGACCAGCACAUUUUUGGGCCCAGUAUGGGAGAUUCUCACACACUUUCAAGCUGACUGAGAGCAUGCCUAAAUCAGUUACCCUGUGAUCUACAUAUGUAAUUUCUACAUUUUGCACAAAUGAGGUCUCUAAAGGGGCUGAAAUCCAAUAGAGGACCAAGGCAAGGAGACAAUAAAGGAAAAGAAUGCACCCAAGAUUUGUUACUGAACAAAAGGGAAACCAAUGGCUUCUCCAUCCACAUCCAUCAAAAACACAAGGAAAUGUUGAUGGGGAGUGACCUCUGAAGAUUUCUAGUCCAGUCUGGUCAGAGCUGGCCAGAGCUAUGUCAGCUCAGCUGUGGUUUGUCCUAACUGCUUCUUGAGAGCCCCACUUCUCUGGUGACCUGUCCAGGUAAGAAACCCCAUAUAGAAAAAAUUAUGUUUUAACCGGAAUUUCUCAAGCCCAACUUGUGGCCAUGGCUCUUUUUUAAACUUGUCACUGAUCAGCUUCUCUCCUCCACAGGACCACAGCACACAAGGAAGGGAAGGAAGGUGUUGCUAAAGGUGUCACUCUGAGUGUGUCCCCAUCACCGUGUCCACAGAGAAGGGAUUUAAUGAGCUCUUUAGGAAGCUCUCAGAGAAAAGCCUGCACUGACAGCCCCACCACUCAGGCAGCUGGGAGCUUUGUUCUGACUGCACACAUUGCUCAAAUACUGAGGGGCAGAGGCUGCAACAGGCACAGUAAUCAGAUUGUUCCUGGCAGGCCCUGACCAUAUGGCAGUGCCACUUGAGCCCUGUCCAGGUUGCCUCUAUAGGGGAAGAAAUUGUCCAAACAAAGUGCAGCUGCUAAGCAAGAUCUCCAAGUUACCUGCAGCUGGAAGAGUUUUGAUGCUGCUGGGACUAAAGUCAGGAGGUUUUGCAUUGGUAGAUAAAGCUAAUUGUUUUUUUUUUAAUUGGGAGAUGAAGACAUCCCACUUCCUGGGGCUGGAGAUGGCAGAAGUCCUGUCUUCAGGACAUGGAGGAGGCCCCCACACUCUGGGGCCAGGUGUGCAUGUACAGACCAAAGAAGUGACUCCAGACCUGUGCCCUCUGCUUACAGCACAACACAUCAACAUUCCCCAUCCUGCUGGGCCUCCGUGCCCAUGGCAAGAGCUGGCCAGGAGCUGCUUUGUGCAGGAACAAGAUCAUCUCUGUCCAGAGGUACUGGGUUGAAAGUAUCUGAGUAAUCAGAGAAUGAUGGAAUCACAGAAUGGUUUGUGUUGGAAGGGACCUUAAAGUUCAUCUCAUUUCACCCCUGCCAUGGGCAGGGACACCUUCCACUAUCCCAGAUUGCUCCAAACUCUGUCCAGCCUGGGCUUGGACACUUCCAGGGAUGGGGAAGCCACAAUUUCUCUGGGCAGCCUGUGCCAGCCAGGACCUCACCACCUUCACAGGGAAAAAUUUCUUCCUAAUAUGUAAUUUGAACCUACUCUCAGCUUGAAGCCAUUCCUCUUUGUCUGAACAAUAAUGGUCACAAGGAGUUUGAUAGUUUCUUCAAAUCAGCUUUCCUGAAUUGAAAAAUAGUUAGAAUGGUUGCCUGUGAACCCACCCGAGGUCUCCCUGGAAAUUACAAACUCCCUGAUUUUUGUUUGCUAACAUAUUGUCUAUUUUUACUGAAACCUUCUCCAAAAGUGUUCAAAAUUUGUCAUCAACCAAAAGCAUUCUGUUUAAAUACAGCUUCUGAAAAAAGUGAAUGCUCAUAAUUCUGCAGAAUAUGGCAAAUGUCAAAUUGAAUUAAUGCCAACUCCACUAAUUUUUUAAAAAGGGGCAAUCUUUCCAUUUAAGUAAGUUCCUAUCAAAUAUUUUGGCCAGCUCCCCUUACUGUGGCCUUAAUUGUGAUCCGCUUAUCCCACUGGAGCCCAUCAAAUGAACAUAGGUGAGGACACGGAACAGAAAUUUCUUGGGAGUGAAAUCAAGGGCAGACGAGGAAUUCCCUACCCCCAUGACAGAAACCCACCCAUUGCCAAGGAAAGCUCAUUGCUCAGACUUCAAACACUACAGCUUGUGCUUAAUUUGGAUACCACGGUUCUCCUGCUAGGAUGAAAAAGUGCCAGUCUUACUCCAGGCAGAAGAAAUUGGGGGUUAGCAGAGCUGCCAGGCCCAUCUUUGCCCAGGAGCAAUGCCAUGGUCUGGAGCAGCGACGGCAGCAGCAGCCGGUCCGACGGACGAUGGUGAGUUGGAUAUGGAGGGAGGAGGCCUUUUUUACACACUGGGGGGUCAGCCUGGCUUUCUUUCACCUUAAACAGGAAGUUAUCACUCCAGAGCACAGCCCAGUGCCAUUCACCUGUGAGGUCUCAGCAGUGGUGGAAGGGAUAACGAGAGGUGAGGGCUGCAGGUGGAAUCUUCAGGUUGGGUGUUAGGAAAAACACCUUCCCCCAGUGGGUGGUGCAGCCCUGGGAUGGGUCACAGAGUGUGGGAUUCUCAAGACUUGGCCAAACAAAGCCACAUCCGACUGCCAACAGCGCUGCUCCAAGCAGCAGGAUGGACCAGAGACCUCCCAAGGGACGGACUCUCCUGCCAUGUUUUAUUCCAUGUCCCAGUCUGGCAGACUGUGCCAUUAUCUGUUCCACAGAGCUCAGGUGUAGCAUCCUCUGCUCAGAGCUCCCGUGGGCAGGCAGACCUUGCUAAAAACACUGAGCCAUUUCUGUGCAACGAUUUUUUGGGGGGAGGUGAGCACAUACAGGCACAGGCAGCUUAAAUGUUGGAAUCAUUUCCAGCCUACAGGUUCUGUCCUCAUAAAGCUUUGGAGAAAUACCUUUUUUUUUCAGGUCAGCUGAUGUUGACACAGCUGGAUGGGCUGUUGAUGAACCUUCUUGACCUCAGGGCCAAGGAGUGAAGGUGGACUGCUCUUGGACCUCAUCCCAGACCCUUCUGAGGCCUCAGCACUUCUCAAAACUCAGUCCUGACGCCUCUGGGGCCUCAGCCCCCACCCAGGCUCCCAGGCUGGCUGGUUUGAUUGUUCUCUACCUUCAAACAAGGACAAAUGAGGUGGAAUUCAGAGAAGAGCAACAGGAAUGAUUACGGGGGUGGAGGUAAUGGCUGAGGAGGAAAGAUUUUGAAAUUUAAAGAUGGAUAGCCAGGCUACAAGCCUACAUACAGAGACAUUAUCAUCAGUCAUUAAGCAACACAAGGCUUCAGAGCCAGGGCAGGCUCAUGAUUCAAGACAGCCCAGUCUCCAAAGUGCUGUAGCCCAGAGGAGCAGCGCAAGGCCAGGUGGAAGGAGCCUGCUCAGGACUGUGAGCAUGAGCAUUUAUUUUUAUUUUUUCUCUCAAUGCAACAUCUCACAGUACGAAGUGAAAUUCUGUUUGGCACUAGGCAGUAGCACAGGGGCACCAGGGAAACAGAACCGCCUAGCAUCACUGAUGAUCUUGGAGGUCUUUUCCAGCCUUAGUGGCUCUAUGGUUCUAUAAUUCUACGAUUCUAUGACUCUGAGUCUAUGAUUUUAUGACUAUGAUUCUGUGAUUCUAUGACUCUGUGAUUCUGUGGCUCCAUGACUCCACAUUCAGGGAGCAUAUGAGGAAGUUGGAAUUUUCUUGGCACAGCACUGAUCAGCCAGAGAAAGUGCCAGAGCCCCACUGCUCAGGAUACUGAAGGUAGACUGGACAAAGCAUCGGGCAGUAGCCAAUGCUCGUUUUCUCGGUCAUCCAUGUCUCUGUGCAUCAUAUAUCACGGCUGUGUGUCCAGAGGAAAGAAAGAUCCCCUCCAACCCAGCAGCCCUGUAACGGAUGGACCUUCCCGAUUCGCAGCGAGCUGACAGCUUGUGAGAACAACAGCUUGAAUUACUGAAAGAACUUUUCCCACUGAGUUAAUCUGCAAUGGAUGUAGGUGACCUUCUAAAGGCAUCUAUUAAUCAAAAAACCAGUGCCCAUUCACCGUGCUAGGCUGAGCCCUUUGGGGGAGGGGGAGAUACUAAUUUCCCUCUGAGAUAAAUCAUAAUUUGACAAUAA